Molecule: long non-coding RNA, 476 nt
Organism: Alligator mississippiensis (American alligator)
Lineage: Eukaryota; Metazoa; Chordata; Crocodylia; Alligatoridae
Exons: 3
Source: RefSeq, a predicted model, not a curated record
UCAGACUACAUGAGCAUCUACUCAUAGUUUCACAUUCAAAAUUAACCUUUUUCUAAAUAUUCUUUGCUGCUUGCUCACUCUCUCUCUGAAUAGUUGGGCCAGUAAACUCAUUUUCCAUGAUAGUUACAGAGAGUAGAUAUAGAAGAAAUGCAAGCAUUCAAAGAGUUACAGUAGUAUUCCAGUGAUAACGUCUCCUCCCAGGCUCCAGUGAGGAUGUCUCUAAAAACAGCAGUGGUCUCUGAACUGCACGGUCCAGGACGCAUCAGAUUUUUCUUCCAUUUGAAGCCACAAGAUAAUAAGAGGAGGCUCCAAGAGAGGUGUGGAUCGCCCGCAAGAGGUCUGAACAGCAACAUGUAUUUUUACUGGAAGUCUGCUAACUAGCCAAAACCUUUGGAAAGUCAUGACACCAAUUUGGCAAAGUACUAUCUCUGUCUGCUUUAUUGAAAACAUCUUAGACAGCAUAAUAAAUAAAAUGC